This 378-nucleotide unclassified non-coding RNA is filed under the name plant metagenome. RNAcentral's name for it is "partial contains 5.8S ribosomal RNA, internal transcribed spacer 2, and large subunit ribosomal RNA". The stretch from base 1 to 105 matches the Rfam family "5.8S ribosomal RNA", at positions 50 to 154 of the family's 154-position model. The record is from RNAcentral.
GAAAUGCGAUAAGUAAUGUGAAUUGCAGAAUUCAGUGAAUCAUCGAAUCUUUGAACGCACCUUGCGCUCCUUGGUAUUCCUUGGAGCAUGCCUGUUUGAGUAUCAUGAAAUCUUCAAAGUAAAUCUUUUGUUAACUCAAUUGGUUUCUACUUUGGUAUUGGAGGUCUUUGCAGCUUCACACCUGCUCCUCUUUGUUCAUUAGCUGGAUCUCAGUGUUAUGCUUGGUUCCACUCGGCGUGAUAAGUUAUCUAUCGCUGAGGACACUGUAAAAGGUGGCCAAGGUAAAUGCAGAUGAACCGCUUCUAAUAGUCCAUUGACUUGGACAAUACUUUUAUGAUCUGAUCUCAAAUCAGGUACGACUACCCGCUGAACUUAAGC